GGGGGGGGGGGGGGGGGGGGGGGGGAGGGGGGGGGGGAGGGGGCGGGCGAGGAGCUGGCGGGUCUGAUGGGGGCGGCGGACGGGUGGGUAAGGCGUGGGUAACCUAGCUAUAAGACUGGGGUAACUGCGGGAAACCGGAGCUAAUACCGGAUGAUAUUUUGAACCGCAUGGUGCAAAAGUGAAAGACGGUCUUGCUGUCACUUAUAGAUGGAUCCGCGCUGCAUUAGCUAGUUGGUAAGGUAACGGCUUACCAAGGCAACGAUGCAUAGCCGACCUGAGAGGGUGAGCGGCCACACUGGAACUGAGACACGGUCCAGACUCCUACGGGAGGCAGCAGUAGGGAAUCUGCCGCAAUGGGCGAAAGCCUGACGGAGCAACGCCGCGUGAGUGAUGAAGGUCUUCGGAUCGUAAAACUCUGUUAUUAGGGAAGAACAUAUGUGUAAGUAACUGUGCACAUCUUGACGGUACCUAAUCAGAAAGCCACGGCUAACUACGUG
RNAcentral lists this ribosomal RNA (497 nucleotides) under uncultured bacterium. RNAcentral's name for it is "partial 16S ribosomal RNA". It matches the Rfam family "Bacterial small subunit ribosomal RNA", at positions 38 to 507 of the family's 1533-position model. The record is from RNAcentral.